GGAGCAGGCCAAACUGUUGUUGGGUUCCUUUGGCUACUCCUCUUCUUGCAGAGCAGGUGCCAGCACAGCCAGGAGAGGGAAGGAGAGCCUUGUGUCUGUGGCAUGCUCUGAGUCCUCUUGGAGACAACAGGGUACAGCCCUUGCCCCCUCCUCUACAUCCACAGCUAUAAGAAGAGAACCUGGAAUCACUUCCACGCUGGAGUCUGUAAGCAGUGAUGCGGAUGCGGCGAAGGCAGCAAAUCCUCCGGCUGUGCGUGCCCUCCCUGGACUGCUGCUCCAUCCCCGCCUGUCGUGCUCGCGCGUGUGCAUGGCUGGGAGCGCUGCCUAGGUGCGGCCGGGAAUGAGCCAGCUGUGGGGCAAGGACCGCUACAGCUCCAAGGGGUGACACAAGUGGGGGAUACCCCCCCACACAAACACAUCUGCAGGGCUGCAAGUUGCUUGAGGACCGGGGUCUUUUGUGCCUGCACUUCGUCUCUGUCAUGCCCCGUAUGGAAGCUGGGAGCAGUCACCCCUCCAGAAGCAGAAGGCGAAGUCGUUCGCAAUGAAUCCAUGGCAGCUUCGAUCGAGCGGUGAGCUGGAGCACCUACUCACAGGCCACUCCUUCAUGUGACUGAACAGAGACCUUUCCCAGCAGUCGCCAAGGAGAGCAGAGCCCUGGAUUUACCUCUCGCGCACCCGGGCACCCCCGGCGCAGGCACUGCGAGCAGCCAAUGAACCUCCAGGGCCAAAGGAUAAAUGCACCAUCGCUGGAGUAUUACAGCAUUUAGAAACCUCACUCACUGACUCACAGCUGUCUGACCCCUCCACCACAACCACUUUCAAUUUGUCUCGGCACCCAGCCACCUUCUCUACUGAGGUGUAGCUGGAUAAUCCUUGUGCUUUUACAGUGCCUGCCUGUGUGCAGCUCUGAGGCAGAACGGUGCUUCUGGAGGACAUCUAGCACAACUAACUCAUCAUGACAACCAGCAGCAACUUCAGGCUGCUUUCAGAGAGCUGUUUGUGGAAUCACCUCAGCCCUUUAGCACAAGAUGUACACUUGCAGCAAGGCCUGCCACUACAGAAGAGAGAGGCUUCUGCUUCCUGCGAGUCCUGUGUCCCUGGCAAAUGCUAGCCCAUGACUAACGUGUUCAACGCUGACAGGGACUGUCCUGUGUGUGAAACUGUAGUCUUGCCACAGAGCACCGGGCUGAACAGUGUAGUGGAGGCUGAGUGCACCUGUGAUUUAUGGGAAGAUUACAACCUUGCCUGCAUAGCCACGUGGAUGUCAGCAUGGCUUAUAUUAUCUGCGCCACGGUGGCAUGCUACAUUCUCACAACACACAGAGGGUGAGAAGGGGCAGACUUUUCAGAGGGAGCUGCCUCUGGGCAUUGCUAUUUUUUACUUCAUCCUUGGAGUUGGUGAGCCUGGUAGUGUUGCAGGGUGACAUGUGU
Molecule: long non-coding RNA, 1430 nt
Organism: Vidua macroura (Pin-tailed whydah)
Lineage: Eukaryota; Metazoa; Chordata; Aves; Passeriformes; Viduidae
Exons: 7
Source: RefSeq, a predicted model, not a curated record